GAUGAACGCUGGCGGCGUGCUUAACACAUGCAAGUCGAACGGAAAGGCCCAAGCUUGCUUGGGUACUCGAGUGGCGAACGGGUGAGUAACACGUGGGUGAUCUGCCCUGCACUUCGGGAUAAGCCUGGGAAACUGGGUCUAAUACCGGAUAGGACGAUGGUUUGGAUGCCAUUGUGGAAAGUUUUUUCGGUGUGGGAUGAGCUCGCGGCCUAUCAGAUUGUUGGUGGGGUAAUGGCCUACCAAGGCGUCGACGGGUAGCCGGCCUGAGAGGGUGUACGGCCACAUUGGGACUGAGAUACGGCCCAGACUCCUACGGGAGGCAGCAGUGGGGAAUAUUGCACAAUGGGCGCAAGCCUGAUGCAGCGAAGCCGCGUGGGGGAUGACGGCAUUCGGGUUGUAAACCCCUUUCGCUAGGGACGAAGCGUUUUUGUGACGGUACCUGGAGAAGAAGCACCGGCUAACUACGUG
This 468-nucleotide ribosomal RNA is filed under the name uncultured bacterium. RNAcentral's name for it is "partial 16S ribosomal RNA". It matches the Rfam family "Bacterial small subunit ribosomal RNA", at positions 28 to 507 of the family's 1533-position model. The record is from RNAcentral.